This 253-nucleotide ribosomal RNA is filed under the name uncultured bacterium. Its description in RNAcentral is "partial 16S ribosomal RNA". It matches the Rfam family "Bacterial small subunit ribosomal RNA", at positions 524 to 776 of the family's 1533-position model. The record is from RNAcentral.
UACGUAGGUGGCAAGCGUUGUCCGGAUUUAUUGGGUUUAAAGGGUGCGUAGGCGGUCCCAUAAGUCAGUGGUGAAAUACUCUAGCUCAACUAGAGGGGUGCCAUUGAUACUGCGGGACUUGAGUGAAGUCGAAGUAGGCGGAAUUGACGGUGUAGCGGUGAAAUGCUUAGAUAUCGUCAAGAACACCGAUAGUGAAGACAGCUUACUAGACUUAUACUGACGCUGAGGCACGAAAGUGUGGGGAUCAAACAGG